RNAcentral lists this long non-coding RNA (529 nucleotides) under Nicotiana benthamiana. RNAcentral's name for it is "long non-coding RNA (NBEN_LNC027122)". The record is from RNAcentral. Lineage: Eukaryota; Viridiplantae; Streptophyta; Magnoliopsida; Solanales; Solanaceae.
UGAAACAAAUGGGGGGUACUUGACUCACAUAGUGUCUUCUAUUUUCCAAGUAGCUUCUUCAACUCUAUGAUUUCUCCAUAAGACUUUCAUGAACACGAUUUCUUUGACCAUAGUUUUCUUAUUUGUCUAUCAACAAUAGCCAUUGGCUCCUCCUCGUAAGACAACUUCUCAUCGAGUGGUAUAGUUGGUGCUUCAAUCACCUAAGAUGAGUAUGAAAUACAUUUUCAUAGCAUUGAGACGUGAAACACUGGAUGAAUAAAGGAAAACUCGUGAGGAAGUGCCAAACGAUAAGCCACCGCUCCCACUCAGUCUAGUAUCUCAUACGGUCUUAUAAACCUGGGGCUCAACUUGCCUCUUUUCCCAAACCGCAUCACACCUUUCAUGGGGGAGACUAGUAGGAACACUUUGUCUCCAAUUGUGAAUACUAAAUCUCUUUUUCUCUUAUCAGUAUAAGACCUUUGUCUACUUUGAGCUACAAGCAAUCUCUGUUUGAUCAAUUGGACCUUGUCCAUAGCUUCUUGUACUAGAU